This is a long non-coding RNA of Megalobrama amblycephala (Wuchang bream), 495 nucleotides long. RefSeq lists it as uncharacterized. The record is from RefSeq and is a predicted model, not a curated record. The transcript has 3 exons. NCBI's taxonomy places the organism in Eukaryota, Metazoa, Chordata, Actinopteri, Cypriniformes, Xenocyprididae.
CAGUAUGAGUUUUCAUCUGAAUUCGUCCAAACUGUGUACGAUCCUGCUGCUCAUGGGUAUAUUAGGCUACUUGCUGCCUCUGACUAGGUUGUGUACGAGUGUCAUGGUAACGUCAAGGGCCGUGGAGCCCCGCCUUCAACACAGCGAGCAGUCAGUUCUCUCUGGGCGAGCAGACGUCAAUCUUCUACCCACCAAUCUUCUGCAGGAAAUGUAGCCAGACACACGGGUGAAGACGGAGGGCUUCUUGGAGUAGUUGCAGCCCAAGCUGGAGCCAAAACUCACAAUGCCGUGAACAUCCCAGGUGCCGUCACUUCUCUGGCAGUUCAGAGGGCCACCAGAAUCACCCUGCACCACUGGACACAACUCCAUCUCCUCCAGCGCACACCAUGAGGUUGGUCACGAGGCUGCCCCACCAGUCAGACCUAGUGCAGGUAGCGUAGUCCACAACAGGGAGCAGAGCCUGCUGCAGGAUAUCAGCAAUGGGACCAUUAGCUG